UUUGGAUCCUAGAUAUAAGUUUUUUGCAAUUAGCCAAUGGAUGAAAAGUAUGGGCGUUGAAGAUUAGGAAAUUGAAAGUUCUAUCUCUAGUAUAAAGCAUCAAUUGUUUGAAUUGCACGAAGUGUACAAGGAUAAUAUAGUGCCUGCAGUUCCAACCUCUAGUAUAAGCUCUAAUUUACCUGCAUCUUCUGCUGAUACUAUUGUUUUACCUAAUGAUGAAGAUGAGGACUUUGCUGAAGAGGUCUUAAAAAAAGCUAAAACAGCUACUUGUUGGUGGAGAUCUCAUGAAGAAGUCUAUCCAGUGCUUUCUUUGAUAGCUCGUGACCUGCUAUCGAUUCCAGCUUCAACAGUAGCAUCAGAGGCAGCUUUUAGUGCCGGUGGAAGGGUUGUAUCGGAGAAGAGAGCAAGUCUGAACCCGGACACAAUUCAAGCAUUGAUUUGCUUGAAAGAUUGGAAGCUGGGAGAAGCAAGACAGCAAGACAAAGAGCAAGAUGAGCUCCGAGCUGAAGAGGAACAAAAUGCAAAACUAGCAAGACCCGAAUGGAUGAUUGCACUUGAACGUGCUAAUUCAAACACGGAAGGCGUCGAGUCAAUUGGAGAUUGAGGAAGAGGUUCUUUGCUUGGUUGCCAUGAAUAUGGAUAUCAGUAAGAGAUGAAGGAAAGUUUGCUAGUGUUAAAUCAAGUCAUCCUUCAGUUUUUGUAUCAAAGAUAACAACUUUUUGUGAAUUGAUGAAGACUUGAUCAGUUCAUCAGUUUUUGUAUCAAACACUGCUUCACUUUUUGUACCCUCAGUGAGUCAGUGGCUGUGCAAUUUUAAUUUCAA
Molecule: long non-coding RNA, 823 nt
Organism: Rosa rugosa (rugosa rose)
Lineage: Eukaryota; Viridiplantae; Streptophyta; Magnoliopsida; Rosales; Rosaceae
Exons: 3
Source: RefSeq, a predicted model, not a curated record